Molecule: ribosomal RNA, 407 nt
Filed under: uncultured bacterium
Lineage: Bacteria
Description: bacterial SSU rRNA
Rfam family: Bacterial small subunit ribosomal RNA
Source: RNAcentral
UGGGGGAUAUUGCGCAAUGGGGGGAACCCUGACGCAGCAACGCCGCGUGCAGGAAGAAGGCCUUCGGGUUGUAAACUGUUGUCGCAGGGGAAGAAGACAGUGACGGUACCCUGUGAGAAAGUCACGGCUAACUACGUGCCAGCAGCCGCGGUAAUACGUAGGUGACAAGCGUUGUCCGGAUUUACUGGGUGUAAAGGGCGCGUAGGCGGGAUUGCAAGUCAGUCGUGAAAUACCGAGGCUUAACCUCGGAGCUGCGAUUGAAACUGUAGUUCUUGAGUAUCGGAGAGGAAAGCGGAAUUCCCAGUGUAGCGGUGAAAUGCGUAGAUAUUGGGAGGAACACCAGUGGCGAAGGCGGCUUUCUGGACGACAACUGACGCUGAGGCGCGAAAGUGUGGGGAGCAAACAGG